RNAcentral lists this long non-coding RNA (1521 nucleotides) under Homo sapiens (human). RNAcentral describes it as "HSALNT0324014". The record is from RNAcentral. Lineage: Eukaryota; Metazoa; Chordata; Mammalia; Primates; Hominidae.
CUUCGUAACUUCUCUGGUUCUGUUUUAUUCAUUAUAAUCCUCAAAAACCCUGAAAGAAACAGAAUAACCUUUUUAUUGACCCACUCAAGUUAUUUAAUUUUUAUGUUUCCCUAGCCCAUAUCUGUUCACGUAUAGCUGAAAAUAAAAAAGAAACGGUGGAUUGAAAUUGAAGGGAAAUAGACAAUAGUUAUUGUUCCUAGCUUAAUUGGGAGAGAAAGCCAGAGUAAAAUAAGAGUCUAUUGCAGCUAAGAGGAAGAAGUUCUUUAGUCUCAACCAAAUAUGUAAAUAUAACAUCUCUCUUCUAAUAUUUUUAGUGCUAAUUCCUAGUAUAGAGCUGAUUAAGGGUGGGGGAAGCACAUAUUUAAUGGCCAUUAUUAUGCUAUUCUGAGGAAAAUUCUCUCAGUGUCUAAUAUUUUAAAAAUGGGUUUUAAUUAGAUCUUAUCAGCAACCCUAAAAUGCAACUUUUCUCACCCUCCAGAAAACAAAACAAAACAAAACAAAACUCACACCAUCCCCAAAACUAGGCUUGAUGAAUAACCACAUGGAAAAUAUGGAAAGAUGUUUCAUUAACCACACGGCAGAUGGAACUAGGUGGGAGGAAAACCUACCACAGCUUCUCUUAAUGGCAUAUUCAGGCUUUACUUCAGAAAAGGGAAGCAUCUAAAAAAGAUUGGAAGAAUUUCUCACCACUCUGCAGGCAGCUGUCUCCUCCCAGCACCCAGGACCUGAACUCAGAAACUACCAGCAACACAGACGUGAGUCAUUCUUGCUGCUAUGCAGUUACCCUUAGUGCUGUCCACCCCUCGUCCCAUCCCUCUUUUAAUCUAUAUUCAUUCAGAGAAAGGAGCUUAAAAAGCAAGCAAAGAAAAAUCACCUGUGCGGAAAGUAGAAGAAACUGCUGCUGGCUCAUCGCAUUUUAGGAAAAACAAUGCGCACGAGUAAAGCAGUCUUAGUAAGAGAAGAGUAGGAAAGAAACACGCUUAGCAGCAUGUUAGAAACUAGUUUCUCGUGCCCUCCUUGGACUCAGAAUACAAUACCAGAGAACAAUCAGAUAAGGCAGGAAAAGUUAGAAGUUUGGGGAAAUAGAGCUUCCGUAGGCAACUGUGAGGAAUCAGGAACAGGCUGGGAGCAGGCACUGCCCACCUGUCCUACCCCGAGAGCACCAGGAUAGGACUCCACACAGGAGGACCGGACCUCGAUGAUGAGCUCACCCUCGCUCUUAACAAGCACUGGCUCUCUACAGAUGUCACUUCCUUUAAGGAUGAGAACUCCGGGUGAGGACGACAAGAGCUGAGCUCGGGUGCUUGCCUUCUGCACUCUCGGGAGGAGGCACCAGCAUGGGCACCCUUCACAGUUCGGGCCCCUCACUCACAAACGUCUGGCACAUGGAAACAAGCUGGCAAAAAGAUUGUUUUUUUCUUCUGUACUUUUUGUUAUAAGCCUGUGGUGAAGUGUCCAUAUCUGGCAUAAAUGAAUGUGAGUGGUCUUGGGAAUCUAAAUAUAACAUGUUUCUAAGUUACA